RNAcentral lists this long non-coding RNA (235 nucleotides) under Elaeis guineensis (African oil palm). Its description in RNAcentral is "long non-coding RNA (EGUI_LNC017911)". Lineage: Eukaryota; Viridiplantae; Streptophyta; Magnoliopsida; Arecales; Arecaceae. The record is from RNAcentral.
ACAAUCUUGACGUCAAAAAUUAAGAUGUUCCUAAAUAACCAGAUCUGAUAUGCGAUGUAUGCCAUCGUAUCACUGGAGGCUUGGCCCUCUAUCAUGCUCCGACGGAGCGUAUCCAAGAAUGAGUUGAGCCAGGAGCCACUCAUAGCUCCUCAGGGUUAGCCUCCAGCCAUACCUCAGAUUAAGCAUGCUUGCGGACAACAAAGCAGAGCAUACUUUGUCGUCCCAUCCUCCAACC